Molecule: non-coding RNA, 1029 nt
Organism: Physcomitrium patens
Lineage: Eukaryota; Viridiplantae; Streptophyta; Bryopsida; Funariales; Funariaceae
Source: RefSeq, a predicted model, not a curated record
UCUGUGUUUUUUGGUUUUGGCGUGCUGGUUGGAGAGCUUUGAAUUCUCUGUGGCUCCCUCAUCUGUGUGUGGGGUCGCAGAGGGACAUGUGUCACUGAGGUGGAGUUUUUGUUCUUCUUGGUUACUAGUUCCUACAGCGGUGGUGCCGUUGUGGGUUUUCCUUUGCUUCAUUUUGACUUGCGAACCUCUAGCGGGGUGCGGCAAUUUUCUUCCUCCUGGAUCUCGUGGUGCUUUGGAUCAUUGUGGUCGUCGGCGUUGAUGGUUCCAACGUUACUUAAGGCUGCGGCGCGGUGCACUGUGCAUCAACUCCCAUUCGACGGCAUGGUCUUGCUUUGGGUGGCAUGUGUGGCGGCUGGUCGAAGGCCACAGCGGAGUUGACGCAUUGACUCCUGAUUACCAUUGAGUUUGGCGGCAGAAUUGUUGGAAGUGCGGCGGUGUCGUCAGAAGUCUUCUCCCGUUUUUCUCGUUGUUUUACUGUGGCCCUUGCUCUUUGGCAUUCUUGUUUCUACGGCUACGCGUGUUGUGUGGGUUCAGCAUUUGGUGAAGUCGUCGGCAGAGGAUCUAGAAAUUGGAGUUGCGCUAACAGAAUCCCCUACGGCGUGAUCUUCUCUUAGCAGGGUGCAUUGUGGAUCAGAUGCGGCUUUGAAGAACGACUCCGAGUCGCUGUCCACCUUCUCGAUUGAUUACAAGGCGUUUUCUCCGCCUUCAUCGAGCUCAAUCAUCGUUCUUCCUCUGUUGUUCUACUGCAAGUCAAGCUGGGUUAUUCAGUAGCGCUGGCUAGCGUGAUUACUUCCACUCUCAAUUUUGACCUUUCCCGCCGAUCGUGUUCUAAAGAGCGACGGCUACUGUAGAUGCGGAAUCAAUUGACUCAGAAGGGCUGCGGUGCAAUCAUUUAAUUUAGAAUCUUGAAUAUUUUAGAUUCUUUUUAGAUGCUUAUAAGAUUCUAAAAAGAUGCCAAUUUGAUGUUUCUAAGAUGCCUUAUAUUUGGAAAGUUAUACUAACUACAAUUAAUCUACUAAUUCUAUUUUA